Long non-coding RNA from Mirounga angustirostris (Northern elephant seal), 5645 nucleotides. RefSeq lists it as uncharacterized. NCBI's taxonomy places the organism in Eukaryota, Metazoa, Chordata, Mammalia, Carnivora, Phocidae. The record is from RefSeq and is a predicted model, not a curated record. The transcript has 4 exons.
AACUUCUGGAAAUGGUCCUAAGAAAAGGCAGCAACUGAAGAAACUUCUAUUUAAGAAAAUUUACAAGAAUUUGGUAAGAUAGCUCCAUAGUCAUCAUAAUUCUGAGGACUGGGAAAGAAGAACCAUUUCAUUUCCAUUUGUCUGGCUGAAGCAAGAGCUGGUUGUAGUGAUGGGGACUCUGGUCAGAAAGAGAACAGAAGAGCCAUCUUGGAUCUUUUCUGAGAUCCUACCCUCAACUCUCCCAUAAUUUCAGAAAACGUUACUACCACAUGUAAUGGAGCAGGAGGUCUUAGAGGCCCCCAUGGAGUGACACCUGACAGAGAGCUCUCUGCCUCUAGGCCUUGAGGAAGCAGGUAGGAGUUUUCUCUCCUUGGGUAUAAUUUUGUUGUUGAAACAUCAAUAAGAAAACAAGCAAAAAGCACAGAGGAUAAUAAACAGGUAUCCAAGAAUUAGCCAUCCCAAAGGAUCAAAUGUUAAUAUUGGAACACAUUUACUUCCAACCUUUUUUCUAAAAAAGAAAAUAUUAUAGAUAUUUUGAAGUCUAUGAAGUUCCCCUCUCAACUCUCCCCACCUCCAUUCCCACCCAACAUCCCUAUGGUAUCAUUCCAGCCCAGGUAUCAGCACUUUUUAUAAACUUAUGUGUCUACACAUAAUAGAUUUAUUUUGUUUGUUUUUUUAAAUUACCACUUUAAAAAAAGUAAUUUCUAGGAAGGAUAAGGAAUGAGUGAAGGAAUUGAAGGGCUAGCUGAAGAACUGGAUCUCAACAAGGACGGGAAGCAGCAUUUCUUGGAGUCAGGGGGCAGGACCUAAGGGAGAGUCACCAAGAUGGCUCAAUGCCCUCUCUUCCCACACUCCCGUCCCUCCACUCUAAGAAGAGGUCUGACUGGCUGAGGCUGGGUCACCAACCCUCCCCUUGACUGGGGAGCUGGAGCACACGUGAUUGACACUCUCACCAAGUCGGAUACACGGGUAGAGGGGGUGAAAGCCUGGUGCCUUUGCCAGAGGAGGGCAAGUGGGUGCUGGGCAGGCGCUAACAGAAAUCUCAGCCUCUAGCCACCCGCCCCAUGCUUCCUCGCUCCCUUCACCCUUCUUAGAGCCACUCCCUUUUGAACACAGAAUCUCAAAAUUCUUCCCAUGAUACUUCGCAGACCUAUUCACCUCUUUUUCUCUCCCCCAGACCGACUUGUCUGGGCCUUUUCGGUGUCAACUUUCUUGGCCAAAGGGCCUUAUUUGUUUUCCCUAAACAAAGAGCCAUCCACCCGGGAGAUAAAUUAAGUCACUUCUCUAAGACACACCUGGCUGCAAGAAGCUGUGUUUCCAAGGAGUACCUCUGCCUCUGUCCUACACUCACGCUGAGGAGAGAGGCCAUGUUCCUGUGGCGGUCUCCUGUUUGGUUGCUGGAGGGUGGUGUUGAAGAUGAUAACAAGAGAGAGAAUAAAUAUUGGGUGGAAGAGAGGAAAAGGAGGGAGAGGAGGAGUGACAGAAAACAGAGGACCUAAGAGGAAACAGGAGGGCAGUAGAAGGAACAUUGUGUUUCUUCUGGGUGAUGGGUUGGGUUGGGUUGGAUUGAGAUUCUUAAAUAUUUUUAUGGCAUUAACUUUCAGCCACUGGAGUAAGUUUCUGGUCCCCUUAUCAAAAAAAAAUUUUUUUAAUGCAUAAAAUGAAAUACAUAGAAUUACAAAGGAAACUGAUUAUAUUGAAAUAUGGAAACUUAAACGUUUUGUCAAAUAGUAAUAUGUGUGCUUCUUUCUUAAUGUUUUAAUGAUAAGACCUGGUAGUGGGUCUAAUUGCUGUAAUGUGAAGAGGAAGUGAUGAGCAUAUGUGAUAUAAAGAUAUCCAUGUUCUACUGGUGACAAAAUUGCAGCACUGCAAUUGAUCGUAGAAGGAAAUGCUACAUUUCAGUUAGUUGUUCAUAAAAAUAAAGAUGUGGGUUUUAUUCCCAAGCAAAUCCACCAGGUUCUUGAGUUCUAUCUGUAGAAACCAAGUUCAGAAUUUCUGCUCUGGGGGGAGGAUGAAGACGCUCUUUCCAUGAGACACUUUGAAGCAAGGCGUGUAGGUGGUGCUGCUUCGAGGCACCAAGUGUGGCCCAGAGGCAGGCAGAGGGCCAUGCCCUCCUCUGCACAGGACUCCACCUUGAUGUGGCACCUGGGGAAUAGUGACUUUGGGAGGACCAACAGUGGCCUUGUCACAUGGGUGUGCUCAGUGGUACCCAUCAUGUGGCUCCUCCAAGUGGAGCCCCACACAGGGCAGGAGCAACAUGGUGGUGAAGGUCCAUGGCUGGAGGAGGAAAGGAGUGAGUGGGGCUGCUUCCCUUUCAGUACGUGGCAGCACCAGGCAUCUGGUGGCCCCUUGCAGAGAGGAAGUGCUGCUUCCUGUCAGAUUUGUGAGAGCUUUGUCAACAUAGGUAGGGAUUUUAUUUUAUUUUUAAAUUUUUUAAUUUUUUAAAAAGAUUUUAUUUAUUUAUUCAUGAGAGAGAGAGAGGGGCAGAGGGAGAAGCAGGCUCCCAAGGAGCAGGGAGCCCGAUGCGGGACCCGAUCCCAGGACCCUGAGAUCAUGACCUGAGCCGAAGGCAGACGCUUAACCAUCUGAGCCACCCAGGCGCCCAACAUAGGUAGGGAUUUUAACUAACCUUUUGUACCCAGUGAAACUAGUCAAAUUCCGGAAUGUCUUUCUCAUCUUCUUUUUGGAGGUAUGCUAAACUCUAGGAGUUCACACAGGUACUUUGAGGGUAUCGGUUCAAAGGAGUCUCUGCGUCUUGAUCUUGAUCUGUCUUUGUCUUGAACUGAGACAGAAUUCAACCUUUUGGUCCAUGGGCGGCUCUGCUGACAUGUGAGGAUGCCCCAUGUGAACCCUGGCUCCAGCAUCCCCUUGCCUUAGAUGCAGACUUUCUCCUCUCUCCCCCCCCCCCUCUCUCCUCCCUCCCCCCCUUUCACGGACUCAGGAAACAUUCAAAUGCUUUCACGUGGGAGAAAUCAUGGGCUUUUGCUGGCUUUUUAAUGCCUGGACCUCAUACACGUCAUGAGCUACUACAUGACCAUGAUGGAGCAGAGACUGCCCUGUGAGGCCUUGAUGAUCUGCUAGGGAAAUAAGGGGGAAGUGGACUCUAUCUACCCUGGGGCCUCCAAACUUGAAGAGAGAUUCCAUUAUUUUUCCUUGUCUUGGACUAGGUUGGUGAACAUGAAGGGCAAGCAGAGGUACCACACACAUGAGUCACCCUCCUGCUUCCCCAGCUCCUCCCUCCCCGGUUCAGACUGUAUUUAUCCAGUCGCCCUGAAGUAGGGCACGUGCCCUUUGUUUACUUCUCUUUCCAGUCUUGUUAUGACACAAACCUUCUGUUUUCAUGCCUUGCAAGGGGGUAGCCUUUUGAAACUCCACCUUCCUGCCUUCUCUCAAAAUUCUCAGCUUUUACAAAUUAGGAUCUGGGCUUCAAGGCCAUUAAUUCUAACUUUCAAGAGCCUAUUUAACACUGAAAAUGCAAGAAUUCGUUUCUUUGGUUUCUGCAUUUGGCUCUGUUCAUGUAGCCAUGAGUAGAAGCAGGUAGGUGACAGAGUGGGUCACAGGAUAACUUUUGUGUGAGGAAAUUAUUUGGUAUCUCAGGAUAUCACAUCAGCAUCCUGAACUGUAUGAGCUCUGGACAUUCACAGGCAUGUGAACACUCAAGUGUCAGCUGCAUUUUCUGCCCCAGACACAAUUCUUUCCUGUACAGCGUGAACAUAUUUUAAAGUUCAGUUUCUGCUUUAUCACAUAUCAAUCUCUGAGUCAGAGAAGGCAUAUGAUGUUGAUGACGAGACAGGUCUUAUUCUAUUUGGAGAUAGAAGAAGAAGGAGAAUGAGGGGAAGGAGAAGAAGAAGCAGUAGGAGGAGGAGAAAGAUGAAGACAAUUAGCAUGUUGAGAAAGCUCAUCCGUGCAAUGGACGGCGUAGGAGACAAGGGGUGUUGGGGGAGGAGGUCACAUGUAUCGUUGGGAGGCACAGUGCCCGGGCCUUGCUGAUGGCCUAGAACACGGGCUUUGGCCGGGAACACCUUCUUCAAGGAGAGAGGUAUUACCGUAAGUGGAGUCUUGGUUAUCUGAUCCCAGGGAGGCACGACUCCCGCCUGCACUGAUGUGCUCACACUUUUCAGUCUUCUCAGGCACACCACCUCUACUCUCCACCAUCUUCAUUCCUCAGAGGCUCGGCCGGGCUCUUCCAGAGUCAGUGUGAAUGCCGAGCAGGGACAGCAGGACAGGCAGUUUGGCUCAGGGAGCUGUGAGCAGCAUCACCCCCAUCUCCAUGAGUGAAAAUGUGAGGCAACACUCCCAGUGGAGGCCCCAGUUGGCCCCACUUGAGAAACACCUGUGUAGCCAGGGCUGAGGGGAAAGGAUGGUGGUGUGCACUUGCGUGAGUUUGUUCCCACACACAGUGCCCAUCGGGAAGCUUCCUUGGUGGCAACAGAUGAGCAGCACACAGGCCUCACGCACCAACAGCUCCCCAGUGUUCUGGGCCGUGGAGGGGAUGCCCGCAGUGCCCGGCGCCCCGCAGAGAGCAAGGGACGCUCCCCAGGAAAUACUCUCACGCUCUUGAACUUGACGGAGGCUCACUUGCAUCCUGCUUUGAAUGGACACCCUGCAUCUCGCUCCGGCUGCUCCUGAAGUUCCAAAUGCUUGCACACAGGACCGUGCGGAAACACGGGCGGGGCCCUUAAGACAGAGCAUUUGCUAGAUGCACAUGGAAGAAGAGAAGCCUUUUCAUCUAAUGCUGAUUCCCAGUCAAAGCAAAAUUCCAGAGAUUGUGAAGAGCAAAAUAACAGUAAGCUGAAAAUAAUUUUGUGUUCAGAGACUCAGUACUCCGCCAUUUGCUUGCAGUCUGUCUAUUGCUUUAUAUGGUUACUUCAAAGCACUGGAUGCUGGGUUCAGAAGGAACUAUUAGUAACAGAAGCAUGGUUUUAAAAAGAAAAUGUGGGGAAGGGAGGGUAGAGGUGGGGAGAUGGGAUGGACCCAGACCACUUCAAUAAUGCCCAGAAUAUCCACACUGAACUCGUUUAUGGAGCUGGAACAAGAAGAAGCUGGCUUUUAUUUGGCCGUGUGUGUGUGUGUGUGUGUGUGUGUCUUUCAAACCUUUGAAAACUGGGGAUAAUUCAAACACAAGCCCAUCAGGAAAACCCUGGAUGAGAUUACCAUUGACAAUUACUCUUCCAAAAUGGUUAAUGCAGGAAAUGUCACUUAAGCAACUUCAAAACCCAGGUCCAUGCCUGCCAUGCAUCAUUUGCAUGGCCAUGCUGGUGAUGAGUGAGGCAGGGUUAUUGCAGAUAAGAGAGAAGCUGCCUUUUAACACAGAUGUCGUGAAAAGAAGGGCUAUAUACACCCCAGUGUUCAUAGCAGCAAUGUCCGCAAUAGCCAAACUGUGGAAAGAGCCGAUAUGCCCUUCAACAGAUGAAUGGAUAGAGAAGAUGUGGUCCAUAUAUACAAUGGAAUAUUACUCAACCAUCAGAAAGGAUGAAUACCCAACUUUUACAUCAACAUAGAUGGGAUUGGAGGAGAUUAUGCUAAGUGAAAUAAGGAGAGAAAGUCAAUUAUCAUAUGGUUUCACUUAUUUGUGGAACAUAAGGAAUAGCAUGGAGGACAUUAGGAGAAGGAAGGGAAAAAUGAAGGGGGGGGACAUCGGAGGG